AGCCCAUGGUGACGGUACUUUCUCAAAAGGUCCUUGUAUCUCUCCCAUGCAUCAUAGAGUGUUUCUAGAUCCAUCUGCACAAAAGAAGAGAUCAUUCCUUAAUUU
This 105-nucleotide small nucleolar RNA is filed under the name Gossypium arboreum. RNAcentral's name for it is "Plant small nucleolar RNA R71". It matches the Rfam family "Plant small nucleolar RNA R71". Rfam says of the family: R71 is a member of the C/D box family of snoRNAs containing the C (UGAUGA) and D (CUGA) box motifs. Multiple nearly identical copies of this snoRNA have been identified in Arabidopsis, and it is thought to function as a 2'-O-ribose methylation guide for 18S ribosomal RNA. Lineage: Eukaryota; Viridiplantae; Streptophyta; Magnoliopsida; Malvales; Malvaceae. The record is from Rfam by way of RNAcentral.